Molecule: long non-coding RNA, 346 nt
Filed under: Chrysemys picta bellii (western painted turtle)
Lineage: Eukaryota; Metazoa; Chordata; Testudines; Emydidae
Description: lncRNA (ENSCPBG00000021447.1)
Source: RNAcentral
GUGAGGUAACAAACAUUUGAAUGUAAAAUAUAUUUGCAUCAAUAACAGAAAUCCUACCACUGGACACGUAUGUGUGGCCUACAUUGACAGCAAGUCACAGGAAGGCAGAAUUCAGCUCUUCAUGUCAAAGGAUCCAGAGACUGCAGUGGUGUGUGCCUGAGUCUGUAGAGAGGACACCCCUCUAAUCCCUCCAUAUGGCCCAAGGAGUUCUCCUCAUCCCUCGAUCCGGUCUAAUGCAGUGGGGCCCCUGGGAAAUAUACUGCCUUGAGGAGGAGACAGAUGAGGAUGUAGUUGAAAUCUGCCACAGCUUUCACCAUGUCCGUGGCCAUACACCAGAAUGUCAUUA